Molecule: transfer RNA, 77 nt
Filed under: Gammaproteobacteria bacterium
Lineage: Bacteria; Pseudomonadati; Pseudomonadota; Gammaproteobacteria
Also listed under: 2 other names
Description: tRNA-Pro
Rfam family: tRNA
About the family: Transfer RNA (tRNA) molecules are approximately 80 nucleotides in length. Their secondary structure includes four short double-helical elements and three loops (D, anti-codon, and T loops).
Source: RNAcentral
CGGGGUGUAGCUCAGCCUGGUAGAGCGCUAUCUUCGGGAGGUAGAAGUCGCUGGUUCGAAUCCAGUCACCCCGACCA